UUCGCAAUGCCCGAAAGGGUGACGAAGCGACGCCGCGUGGGUGAGGAAGGCCUUCGGGUUGUAAAGCCCUGUCAGGAGUUAAGAAAUGUAGACUCGCUAAUAACGGGUCUAUUUGACAAAGGCUCCAAAGGAAGCCACGGCUAACUCUGUGCCAGCAGCCGCGGUAAUACAGAGGUGGCAAAUGUUGUUCGGAAUUAUUGGGCGUAAAGAGCACGUAGGUGGAUUUGUAAGUCAGACGUGAAAGCCUUCUGUUCAACGGGAGAAUUGCAUCUGAAACUACAAACCUUGAGUGUAGGAGGGGAGAAUGGAACUUCUGGUGGAGCGGUGAAAUGCGUAGAUAUCAGAAGGAACGCCGGCGGCGAAAGCGAUUCUCUGGCCUAUUACUGACACUCAGUGUGCGAAAGCUAGUGGAGCAAACGGGAUUAGAUACCCCGGUAGUCCUAGCCGUAAACGAUGGGCACUAAGUAGAGGGGUUUU
This 477-nucleotide ribosomal RNA is filed under the name Candidatus Scalindua marina (nom. nud.). Its description in RNAcentral is "bacterial SSU rRNA". It matches the Rfam family "Bacterial small subunit ribosomal RNA", at positions 365 to 832 of the family's 1533-position model. Lineage: Bacteria; Pseudomonadati; Planctomycetota; Candidatus Brocadiia; Candidatus Brocadiales; Candidatus Scalinduaceae. The record is from RNAcentral.